GAUCCCACUCCAAAUCAACCAACAUCAAGAACAGAAAAUUCGGAGCCCUAGCUCUCAUUCUUCACUCCCUCUGCACUAGUUCACACCAAAUCGGAACCCUAGCUCUCCUUCAUCACUACCAGACUAUUCGGACCAAUCACUUCACACUACCGACAUCGGUCGUUUAUCCAACGACGGAGGCGGUUACAUACGGUGGCCCCCGCAGUGGAUACGGUUCCGACAUCACCGUCAAAAUCUACGUCUACGAUGAAACUGAAAUUGGCGGCGUUAAAGAGCUGUUGUACGGACGUGACUAAAUCAUGACUCAAGGCCCGAUUGGGCACUCAGGAAGAUGCAAAGAAGCUUGAUAGAGGUGCUAAAAACAAAUACACAGUGUGAGGCGUGCCAUGUUUUUUAGUCUUAACUCAAGAAUUCAACUAUUUAUUUGUUUUUAAGGCAUUUUACAUUGAAAGUAAUCUUGCAAAUUAAGUUAGUUACAUGGCAUAUCCUAACUUC
This 495-nucleotide long non-coding RNA is filed under the name Helianthus annuus (common sunflower). RNAcentral describes it as "hypothetical non coding rna". The record is from RNAcentral. Lineage: Eukaryota; Viridiplantae; Streptophyta; Magnoliopsida; Asterales; Asteraceae.